RNAcentral lists this transfer RNA (61 nucleotides) under Podarcis lilfordi (Lilford's wall lizard). RNAcentral describes it as "tRNA.Lys". It matches the Rfam family "tRNA", at positions 9 to 63 of the family's 71-position model. From Rfam's summary of the family: Transfer RNA (tRNA) molecules are approximately 80 nucleotides in length. Their secondary structure includes four short double-helical elements and three loops (D, anti-codon, and T loops). Lineage: Eukaryota; Metazoa; Chordata; Lepidosauria; Squamata; Lacertidae. The record is from RNAcentral.
GAACUUGGUUGGUAGAGCAUGAGAUUUUUAAUCUCAGGGUUGUGGGUUUGAGUCCCAUGCU